This 492-nucleotide ribosomal RNA is filed under the name uncultured bacterium. Its description in RNAcentral is "partial 16S ribosomal RNA". It matches the Rfam family "Bacterial small subunit ribosomal RNA", at positions 29 to 507 of the family's 1533-position model. The record is from RNAcentral.
AGUGAACGCUGGCGGUAUGCCUAACACAUGCAAGUCGAACGGCCGCACAGUAAGAGCUUUCCCUUACUGGUGGCGAGUGGCGGACGGGUGAGGAAUACAUCGGAAUCUACUUUUUCUUGGGUGAUAACGUAGGGAAACUUACGCUAAUACCGCAUACGACCUACGGGUUAAAUCAGAGGAUCUUCGGACCUUUCCCGAUUCUAAGAGCCGAUUUCGGAUUAGCUAGUUGGCGGGGUAAAGGCACACCAAGGCGACGCUCCGUAGCUGGCAUGAGCGGAUGGUCAGGCACACUGGAACUGAAGACCGGGCCAAACUCCGACGGGGAGAAAGCGGGGGGAAGUUUUGGCAAAUGGCGGAAGCCUUAAUGAGGCAAUCCGGGUGGGUUAAGAAGGGCUUCGGGUUUUAAAACCCUUUUUGUAGGGAAGAAAAUGUGGGAGAUUAAUUCUCCCCGUUCUGACGGUACCCAAAGAAUAAGCAACGGCUAACUUCGUG